Molecule: microRNA precursor, 162 nt
Filed under: Cajanus cajan (pigeon pea)
Lineage: Eukaryota; Viridiplantae; Streptophyta; Magnoliopsida; Fabales; Fabaceae
Description: miRNA gene-KK1_034169
Source: RNAcentral
UUUUUUUUUUUUUAAAAAAAAAAAAAAAAAUUUUUUUUUUUUUUUUUAAAAAAAAAAAAAAAAAUUUUUUUUUUUUUUUUUAAAAAAAAAAAAAAAAAUUUUUUUUUUUUUUUUUAAAAAAAAAAAAAAAAAUUUUUUUUUUUUUUUUUCUUAUUGAAAAAA